ACAAGCGGAGGAGCAUGUGGUUUAAUUCGAUGAUACGCGAGGAACCUUACCUGGGCUCGAACGUAAGAUGACUGUAGGUGAAAAGCUUACAUCUCUUCGGAGCAUUUUACGAGGUGCUGCAUGGUUGUCGUCAGCUCGUGCCGUGAGGUGUCGGGUUAAGUCCCAUAACGAGCGCAACCCCUACCUUUAGUUGCCAUCAGGUUAAGCUGGGGACUCUAAAGGAACUGCCUACGCAAGUAGUGAGGAAGGCGGGGAUGACGUCAAAUCAGCACGGCCCUUACGUCCAGGGCUACACACGUGCUACAAUGGCCGGUACAGAGGGCAGCUACCUGGUGACAGGAUGCAAAUCUCCAAAGUCGGUCUCAGUUCGGAUCGGAGUCUGCAACCCGACUCCGUGAAGUUGGAUUCGCUAGUAAUCGCGCAUCAGCCAUGGCGCGGUGAAUACGUUCCCGGGCCUU
RNAcentral lists this ribosomal RNA (458 nucleotides) under uncultured Sphingobacteriales bacterium. RNAcentral describes it as "bacterial SSU rRNA". It matches the Rfam family "Bacterial small subunit ribosomal RNA", at positions 925 to 1382 of the family's 1533-position model. Lineage: Bacteria; Pseudomonadati; Bacteroidota; Sphingobacteriia; Sphingobacteriales. The record is from RNAcentral.